Molecule: ribosomal RNA, 397 nt
Filed under: Mataza sp.
Lineage: Eukaryota; Cercozoa; Thecofilosea
Description: partial small subunit ribosomal RNA
Rfam family: Eukaryotic small subunit ribosomal RNA
Source: RNAcentral
AUUCCAGCUCCAAUAGCGUAUAUUAAAGUUGUUGCAGUUAAAAAGCUCGUAGUUGGAUUUCUGGCAUGAUGCGCCUGGCCCGCUCCGAUUACGGAUGUGUGUGCUAGUGCGCGUCUGCCAUCCAUUUACAGAAUGUAUCUACCCUUCAUUGGGCCGGAUAUGUGAUGUAAAUCUUUUACUUUGAAAAAAUUAGAGUGUUUAAAGCAGGCAUUUGCUAUGAAUACAUUAGCAUGGAAUAAUAAUCUAGGACUUCGGUUUUAUUUUGUUGGUUUCUAAAUCUGGAGUAAUGAUUGAUAGGGAUAGUUGGGGGUGCUAGUAUUUAGGGGCCAGAGGUGAAAUUCUUGGAUUCUCUAAAGACUAACUUAUGCGAAAGCAUUCACCAAGGAUGUCUUCAUCA